Molecule: unclassified non-coding RNA, 21 nt
Filed under: Chlamydomonas reinhardtii
Lineage: Eukaryota; Viridiplantae; Chlorophyta; Chlorophyceae; Chlamydomonadales; Chlamydomonadaceae
Description: small RNA Cre_1316
Source: RNAcentral
CGGCGACAGCGGUGGCGGCGG